AGGAAACCUGUGGAGUGCAUAUGCAGUACAACUAAGGUGUAGAAUCUCUGUUCAGAGCUCACCUUCUCAUAAUUGUGGCCUGCCUGAUGUUGACAGGAAAAAUCCCUGGGAAGCAGCCACAAGAGGGAGCAGGAUUGGUAAUGCCAGAGCUGAUGGCACCCCUUAAGCCCUGUGCACAAAGAUGUUUGGCUCUGCAUGCCACUGCCCUGCACCUCUACAUCCUGGUUCUGAGAGAUGGCACAACAUGUGUGAUGUCAGAGGAGAAGAGAUGGAAAAUGAGCUCUAUUUUUCCAUCCUAUUCCCUUUCUCCUCUCAGCUCUUCCCUCUACAAGAACUGUUUGCGAUCCACGGGGCUGCGCUGACACCUAGUGGUGCUCGCCUGGCUGCAGGGGGACCCUUGGGUGGAUCGCCAGAUGCUGGUUGUGUCCCCAGGAAGCCAGCAUCGUCUUCAUCUUCGAGAAACCUUCUCCAAAAGCUGCAGGAAAAACUGUUGGAAAGGCCUGUUCACCACCUUCGGUCGCUCAGUGGAGUGGCUUCGUCCAGAACACGAGGAUGUUUCCAUAUUUGGGAAAACACAGCUGGAAGAGAUAAUGGGAAAGCUCACCCGGAGAGGGGCAGCGAUGCAGAAAGGACUACAAACCAAUAAGGAAGCCCAUCAGUAGAACACAACAUGUUCUCUUUCAGAUGGCCAUUUAUUCAUGCACACAGAACAAACAGCCUGAGCUCAUCAUCCUACAACAAUACCUAGCAUUUCUCUGUGGUCACUAUACCAUAGUCCAAUGUUAUCUCCAAAGAAAUGAAAGGAAAGCUAAAUAUGGGAUAUACCCAACCCACGUAUAUCCCAUAUUUAGCUUGAAAUGCCUCUCAGAUACUUCGCUGUGGCCAAUGUAAAUGAAUCAAGUCUCUUCAGUUUUACCAGGAUGGAAUAUAUUUAUACAGUGAGAUGUACGUGCAGGUUUAAAUCUGGAGGCUUUAGUGAAAGGUGCAUUGCAUUCAGGGUUUCACUAUAUUGAGAAGUUUAAUAGUGUAAAACUUUAAUAAGUUUCAAAUAUUUGGAAAAAAAAAACCAACCAAACCCAAAAAACCCCUUCAACUACUCUAACCGGUUUUCUUCUUUCCAUUAAGUCUUGUCUAGAGGAUCAAUUACUUGACAUUUUCUGACAUGAUCUACUGGUUGAAGAGCAUUUGGUAAAAUUAAGUAUGGAUUAUGGACAAAAUCCAAGGACUCAAAAAAAAGGGUAUUUUACCUAGGAGUUAAAGAGGGUCAAACCUGAGCAUUUAAUGGUGCUCUUUCAAAUACUGUUCCUUAAAAAUACAGAGAGUCUGAAUCUGUUCUCAUUGAUUAUUACAUAUUUAUCUAAUCACAUGGAAGUACUGCAUCAUAUAUCCUGGAACAGGUGAAAUCAGAGCUCUGCUUGGUAAGAGCAACCAGAGGACAGAUGACCUGGUAAGAAAAUGAGAUUUGGAGAAAGUUGUUUGUAGAUAUACAUAUACAUGCAAUGAGAUAUUCAAUUACAGUAACAUUCCUCUAUGUUACCAGAACAUUAUAUAAGCUCAUCAUGCUGCUCCUCUUCAGACAGGACAUUAUUUAGCAGACCUCCCUGGCAGCAUAUGUGUGGGUUGUGAUGCCUGUGGUACUAUUGGGCAUGCUGAGGAAGAGAAAGAGAUUUAUAGGAGCACUGUACCCCUGAAUCAAAUCUGGGUGGCUAUAUGUCAUCCCUGUGAGGGCUUCUGAAUACAUCCAGUAAUUUCAGCCAAUUUUAUAAAAGGGCAGAAUUGCCAACAACAUUAAUUUCACAUAAGUUUUUUGAAAAUGAGAAGAUUUUAGGGCUUCCUCCCACCUUUUGCCAGUGGAGAUGCUGGUACAUCUCUGCCAUGUUGAUGCCUGCCUGAAAUAAACAGGGUUGACACCACUCAACCUGCCCAGCCAAAUGUUGCCAGGAGGCAAGCAGGGAUGUGAGGAGAGGAGGAGGCAGAUCAGAGAGUCUGAGGAACCUCUGGGAGUAGGGGUAAAGAAGGCUGGGAAUGGCUGCUUGCAACUACAAGUUUUAUAAAGCCUAUUUGUUUCUGGGGAAACUCUUUCUGUUUUGUAUGCAAGUGGUGGAAUUGUCAGUGCCUACCACAGACAAUUUGUUAUGGUUUAAAAGAGAGGAAAUGACUACUGGACAGAGCAUUGGAUAAGAUGGGAAAUUUGGGGCAGAUACCUUUCUCUCACUCUAACUAGAUAAUAUCCAAAGUGUUAGUGUCUUAGGAGCAUGUCUUUCAGAGAAAAUCUUCAGAUGUUGAAAUAUUUACUACCCUGCAUUAAGAUCAGUCGCUUAUGUAAAAUGAUAGGUGGUUUAUAUUUAUUCAUUGAGGAAUGGAUCUCUGUAACAAGACGGUCUUUUAGGAUUGAUCAAAUGUACUUCAGCUUUACUAGUUUAAGAUGUUGACAGUAUACUGCCUACAGAGGUACUUUUAAGAUAUGAAAUGCCAUAUAAAAUUUGGGGGUGGUUUGUUGUUUUAGAACAAAAAUAUACAUUUAGGAGAAAAAUUACUUCUAUCAAGAAAGGCAAUGCAAAAUUAUUUCUAACUAUCGGAAGACUAUAAAAGAAAAAUCAGGGUGAAUAUAUUUCUAAGCUAACAGGCCACAUCUUGUAAGAAAUAAUGUAAGUGAAAGAUAAAGUCAGAACCCUUCCUAAGCUCUCGUCUAGCCUACAUUGUACUUGGGCAGAUUCAUGAAAGCUGUGAUGGGAUAAAAAAGUGAAGAAAAUAUUUCUCUUUUGGUUUGUCAAUGCUGAAAAUAUUUACACCAUAUUUUAGCAGUUUGAACAAUAUUAAUAGCAUCUGUGAAUGGAUUUCCAGAUUUGUAGAAUACAUUCUUAUAACUAAAUGACCUGUUUGAAUAACACACAAUUUUACAAAUUCUGCUCUCCUGUUCCUUUUUUAUUCCAAGAUAAAUUUAUCAUUGUUAAUUAAAAUGUUAAAGAUAUCGCUUAAGCAGAAAAGGGACAAUUAAAAGUAAGUAUAUUAUUCAUUUGAUGAUUUCUCUUUUGUUGUUAUCUUUAGAAGUGCGUGGGGUGACUCUCCUUCCACCUUAUUUUGACUAACCUUUGUCAAAAUCUUCUAAAACAUCAAAGAAACAAAUGUAUUGCUUUUUUCAUGGGCCAUACCAACCUAAUAUUCUCUGAGAUCACUUGAAAAACUCAGCAUUGUAUCUACUGAGGCAGAACAACUCACAGAUUUUUCUGAGAUGUGCAGAGGUGUACAGAAAUGAUACAAAGAUGGACCAAUGUCAUGUCUGGAGUAAUAACUUGGUCCUGAGAUAUUUUACUACUGGAAACACCUUCAGGUUACAUGCAAAAUACCAGUCCUGAAGGCCCUAAUACUGCUCCAAACAACCCAAUACUUUUUUUUCCUAGCUAACAUAAACUUGUAAAUCCAUUGUGGUGCUCUUCUAAUAAAUCCCCUGGUGCAGGGUGGAAAAACUGGUAUAAUUUGUUCAGACAUGCAGACAGAAGGGCGUAUCUGGAAGCUGUUCUGCAGCUAGGGUACAGCUGUGUUCUGAUUUCAACAAAAUAUGCUGGGAGUCAGCUACAGUUGUAAGGUUUUGGGUUUGGUGGGAUGGGUUUUUGAGGGAGAUGUCUGUGUAUUAUAUGCAUAUCACUUUCCUUUUUGUCCCUUCUUUACCAUUAACUUAGACCUCAGUCUGAAGGUAUUGGAUUGGAAUACAUAGUCUAGCAAUGAUACUCAGUGAUCUUUUAAAAUAAAGAUUUCUGAUGGUGAGUCUUCAUUUUAUUUACAUUUUCUUUAAGCUAUCUCAUGAAUUCUUUGGAUAUCUGUCUCAAGCUGCCAUUAACCAGUGCUCAGUUUGACUCCUGCUGUGUUUGUUUCUCCCAGCAAAACACUCUGGCCAUUGUGUAAGGGGCACUGCCAUCCAAAUAUGUCAUAUUUCUUCAGAUACUCCAUGCCAAAAUAAUUUUAAGUUAAACUUCAACUAAAGAAUAAAUAAACAGUCUGAAAUUUCCUUCAGUAACCUGGUUCGUAUAACUGCAAAAACACUUUCUGAAACAGCAUUUGUAAUUUUUUGUGACAACAAGCUGUGGAAACCGUCCCUCAUAUGUUUCUAAUAUUAUCUGAAUUUUCAAUAUAUACUGGAAUAUGUGAAUUUUCAAGAUAUUCUUCUUUGAUUCCUUUGCUAACUAACCUUACUGUUCUCACUCCUCAGCUGUACCCUAGCACGUGGUUUGCUGAUAGGAAUGCUAACCAAAACAGAUAGUUUACAAUACCCAGACACAUGUACUGCUCACUCUGACAUACAGAGAGUAUGCUGAAAAAAAUCUGAUUUUCAAAAGUAAUUGGCUCACAUGGCACAAACGAAAUGUACCAUGAUUUGCUUCCACUGAGGUUCCUAAAUGAUCUCCAGAAAUAUUUAGUUCUUGCUCCCAGUAUUGAGUACAGAGAACAUUUGAAAUCUUGAUCACUUUUUAAAAAUAUGUAACAAUGAAUGUCAUUUCUUUAGGAGUAGGUCAGUUGUUUAGGUUCCUUAAUAAAAACACCAAAAUACUUCAAAUGUGACACCCUGUAGCCUUUGUACUUAAUCAGAACGAAUCUGGAGAAUUGUAAAGCACUAUUCAAUAAGAGUAAAGACAGUUCGUAAUAUUUUAGUGAAUGUUCUAGGAGAGCCUAUAAAACGUUUAUAAAGUCAAAUAAAAAGUUUAGAAAGUCAAAUAAAAUUAUAGAUGAAAUUAUAGAUGUUCUAUGAAAAAGCACAUCAUGAUAAUGCAGUGCUCAGACAAUGAUAUAAGGCUGAUUUUUGGAAUCAGGAUUUUUAUACUGAUAUUUAUAUUAUAUGUACACAAAUACUUGUGGUUCUGUGGCUCUAGCAGCAUUUUUCUCCAGUCUUUUCAGGUUCACUGUGUCUCAGACACGACUCAUAACUUCUGGCAUGUAGAAGUCCAUCCAAAUGCCUUCAGGAGCUCCAGUCUUCUUCCACAGAGUAACUCCACAGGAAUGGGUGUUCCUCUCUCCCAUCCUUAACCACAUUUGAAGACAUCUUUACAUAACUUUAUUCAAAAUCUGAAAAGGAAACUCAGAUUGUUCCUUGGCUUCCUGGAGGAGCAAGCUUGACCUUUUCAUGUCUAUAUUUAAUUUAAAUAUUUAUGCAGCAAAAAUAA
Passer domesticus (house sparrow) is the source of this 5156-nucleotide long non-coding RNA. RefSeq lists it as uncharacterized. The transcript is spliced from 3 exons. NCBI's taxonomy places the organism in Eukaryota, Metazoa, Chordata, Aves, Passeriformes, Passeridae. The record is from RefSeq and is a predicted model, not a curated record.